RNAcentral lists this ribosomal RNA (445 nucleotides) under uncultured bacterium. Its description in RNAcentral is "partial 16S ribosomal RNA". It matches the Rfam family "Bacterial small subunit ribosomal RNA", at positions 354 to 796 of the family's 1533-position model. The record is from RNAcentral.
GUGGGGAAUCUUGCGCAAUGGGCGAAAGCCUGACGCAGCCAUGCCGCGUGCAGGAAGAAGGCGCUACGCGUUGUAAACUGCUUUUAACCGGGAAGAAACCCCAGGACGUGUCCUGGGUUGACGGUACCGGAGGAAUAAGCACCGGCUAACUUCGUGCCAGCAGCCGCGGUAAUACGAAGGGUGCAAGCGUUAUCCGGAUUCAUUGGGUUUAAAGGGUGCGUAGGCGGAGCGUUAAGUCAGUGGUGAAAUCCUGCAGCUUAACUGUAGACUUGCCAUUGAUACUGGCGCUCUUGAGUGCGCUUGAAGUGGGCGGAAUGUGCCGUGUAGCGGUGAAAUGCUUAGAUAUGGCACAGAACACCAAUUGCGAAGGCAGCUCACUAAGGCGAUACUGACGCUGAGGCACGAAAGCGUGGGGAUCGAACAGGAUUAGAUACCCCGGUAGUCC